This 409-nucleotide ribosomal RNA is filed under the name bacterium. RNAcentral describes it as "partial 16S ribosomal RNA". It matches the Rfam family "Bacterial small subunit ribosomal RNA", at positions 355 to 776 of the family's 1533-position model. The record is from RNAcentral.
UGGGGAAUAUUGCACAAUGGGCGAAAGCCUGAUGCAGCGACGCCGCGUGAGGGAUGACGGCCUUCGGGUUGUAAACCUCUUUCAGUAGGGACGAAGCGCAAGUUACGGUACCUGCAGAAGAAGCACCGGCUAACUACGUGCCAGCAGCCGCGGUAAUACGUAGGGUGCGAGCGUUGUCCGGAAUUACUGGGCGUAAAGAGCUCGUAGGCGGUUUGUCACGUCGUCUGUGAAAUCCUAGGGCUUAACCCUGGACGUGCAGGCGAUACGGGCUGACUUGAGUACUACAGGGGAGACUGGAAUUUCUGGUGUAGCGGUGGAAUGCACAGAUAUCAGGAAGAACACCGAUGGCGAAGGCAGGUCUCUGGGUAGUAACUGACGCUGAGGAGCGAAAGCAUGGGUAGCGAACAGG